Meleagris gallopavo (turkey) is the source of this 224-nucleotide non-coding RNA. The record is from RefSeq and is a predicted model, not a curated record. Lineage: Eukaryota; Metazoa; Chordata; Aves; Galliformes; Phasianidae.
CAGCAGAGCCUGGUGCCCUCAGCAACCUCACUGGCUGCAUUGGGAACGUCUUCGUCAAGCGGAUCUCAGAGCCACAGAUGGUGGUGGACCUGCAGCAGAAUGUGGAGAGCAUCAAUGUCACCAUGAGCUGUCCUUGGGGCGAGCGGCCGCAGCAACUCAGAGUUGCUCUGAAGAAGGACAGGAGGAAACCCAAGGUGUCCAGCAGGCCCAGCUCCAAGGCCCGC